Molecule: ribosomal RNA, 253 nt
Filed under: uncultured bacterium
Lineage: Bacteria
Description: partial 16S ribosomal RNA
Rfam family: Bacterial small subunit ribosomal RNA
Source: RNAcentral
UACGGAGGGUGCAAGCGUUAAUCGGAAUUACUGGGCGUAAAGCGUGCGCAGGCGGCUUUGCAAGACAGAUGUGAAAUCCCCGGGCUCAACCUGGGAACUGCAUUUGUGACUGCAAGGCUAGAGUACGGCAGAGGGGGAUGGAAUUCCGCGUGUAGCAGUGAAAUGCGUAGAUAUGCGGAGGAACACCAAUGGCGAAGGCAAUCCCCUGGGCCUGUACUGACGCUCAUGCACGAAAGCGUGGGGAGCAAACAGG